This 477-nucleotide ribosomal RNA is filed under the name uncultured bacterium. RNAcentral's name for it is "partial 16S ribosomal RNA". It matches the Rfam family "Bacterial small subunit ribosomal RNA", at positions 29 to 507 of the family's 1533-position model. The record is from RNAcentral.
AUGAACGCUGGCGGCGUGCUUAACACAUGCACGUCGAACGGGAAACCUUUUAAUGAAGCUUCGGCAGAUUUAGCUGGUUUCUAGUGGCGGACGGGUGAGUAACGCGUGGGUAACCUGCCUUAUACAGGGGGAUAACAGUCAGAAAUGACUGCUAAUACCGCAUAAGCGCACAGGACCGCAUGGUCCGGUGUGAAAAACUCCGGUGGUAUAAGAUGGACCCGCGUUGGAUUAGCUUGUUGGUGGGGUAACGGCUCACCAAGGCGACGAUCCAUAGCCGGCCUGAGAGGGUGAACGGCCACAUUGGGACUGAGACACGGCCCAGACUCCUACGGGAGGCAGCAGUGGGGAAUAUUGCACAAUGGGGGAAACCCUGAUGCAGCGACGCCGCGUGAAGGAAGAAGUAUCUCGGUAUGUAAACUUCUAUCAGCAGGGAAGAUAGUGACGGUACCUGACUAAGAAGCCCCGGCUAACUACGUG